This 497-nucleotide ribosomal RNA is filed under the name uncultured bacterium. RNAcentral describes it as "partial 16S ribosomal RNA". It matches the Rfam family "Bacterial small subunit ribosomal RNA", at positions 28 to 507 of the family's 1533-position model. The record is from RNAcentral.
GAUGAACGCUGGCGGCGUGCCUAAUACAUGCAAGUCGAGCGAACGGACGAGAAGCUUGCUUCUCUGCUGUUAGCGGCGGACGGGUGAGUAACACGUGGAUCACCUUCCUAUAAUACUGGGAUAACUUCGGGAAGCCGGAUCUACUACCGGAUGAUAUUUUGAACCGCAUGGUUCAAAAGUGAAAGACGGUCUUGCUGUCUCUUAUAGAUGGAUCCGCGCUGCAUUAGCUAGUUGGUAAGGUAACGGCUUACCAAGGCAACGAUGCAUAGCCGACCUGAGAGGGUGAUCAGCCACACUGGAACUGAGACACGGUCCAGACUCCUACGGGAGGCAGCAGUAGGGAAUCUUCCGCAAUGGGCGAAAGCCUGACGGAGCAACACCGCGUGAGUGAUGAAGGUCUUCGGAUCGUAAAACUCUGUUAUUAGGGAAGAAAAGAUGUGUAAGAAACUGUGCACAUCUUGACGGUACCUAAACAGAAAGCCACGGCUAACUACGUG